AUUGAACGCUGGCGGCAUGCUUUACACAUGCAAGUCGAACGGUAACAGGCCUUCGGGUGCUGACGAGUGGCGAACGGGUGCGUAAUGCAUCGGAACGUACCCAGAGGUGGGGGAUAACGCAGCGAAAGCUGUGCUAAUACCGCAUGUGAUCUGAGGAUGAAAGCGGGGGACCGAGCAGCAAUGUUUGGCCUCGCGCCUUUGGAGCGGCCGAUGUCGGAUUAGCUAGGUGGUGGGGUAAAGGCCUACCAAGGCGACGAUCCGUAGCUGGUCUGAGAGGACGACCAGCCACACGGGGACUGAGACACGGCCCAGACUCCUACGGGAGGCAGCAGUGGGGAAUUUUGGACAAUGGGCGCAAGCCUGAUCCAGCAAUGCCGCGUGCGGGAAGAAGGCCUUCGGGUUGUAAAACGCUUUUGGCAGGAACGAAACGGUGUCCGCUAAUACCGGGCGCUAAUGACGGUACCUGCAGAAUAAGCACCGGCUAACUACGUG
Molecule: ribosomal RNA, 492 nt
Filed under: uncultured bacterium
Lineage: Bacteria
Description: partial 16S ribosomal RNA
Rfam family: Bacterial small subunit ribosomal RNA
Source: RNAcentral